CAGGUCCGGGAUGCGGUGCACUGUUGUCAUGCCCCCACUCCAAUAUUGCACUCGUCCCGGCCUCC
This is a microRNA precursor of Seriola lalandi dorsalis, 65 nucleotides long. NCBI's taxonomy places the organism in Eukaryota, Metazoa, Chordata, Actinopteri, Carangiformes, Carangidae. The record is from Ensembl.